GGGUUGAUAUAUUUAUAUCCCGAUUAAGUCUCCAGGUCUCCACUUUUACGAGGUUUAUGAAACAUCUUUUUAAAGAUUGUUUCCAAUAAUAAAAAAGGUCUUGAGCUAAAAAAAAAAACUUUGAUAUAUGUAAUGAUGUUUUAUAAUGGUGAUACAGAUCUUAGAUUAAACGUGUUCUCCCUAACUUCAACCAUCCUACAAAUCUACCACCUACAACAUCAUCCUACAAAUCUAUUACCUACAACUUCAUCUACAAAUCUUCAUUCGUCGAGUAAAUGAAACUCAGGACCUACCUUGAUGUUCGUGUACUCCUCCGUCUGACAGAUCUGAUGGAGUAAAUACUCUCCACCUGGAGAAAUCUUCUGAUGUCGUCUUCUAUCUUCAGAACUACUCUAAAUUCCGUUGGCCGUCUUCCACCAUCCUGACCAUCAUCCUGAGCUUAUGAAUGUGAGCUCACCUCCUCUGAAUCACGACUCGGAGUACUGAUUGAUCUGACCGAGCUGCCUCCGACUGGACAACACAGAUUUCGAGGACUUAUGUUGGAACGUCAUAUGCUUUAGACGUGUCCUGUUAAGGUGAGACUCAUCACACGAGAAAUAUAUAUAACGAUCUUGACGAACAGGAUUUUAAACCCCGUCUUGUUUAGAUUCCUCAAGAUCAGAGAACAAUAUCAAGGACGUCGUCUUCCCCUUGGUUCUCCGAUACUCUCCUUCUCUGCUUUAAGGAUUGCACCUAAAGACUCAAAAGGACUCUGAAUGAAGCAUAAGAUAAUCUCUCUCUGAACUGUAGCUCAUAUCAAGACCCCAGCCCGAGCAACUUUGUAAGUGUGUUUUUAAAUACUGAACUCUUUGCCAAUAUGAUUUUUAAUGAUUCAAAAAACUAAAUUUCUUUAUUGAGACCUGGAGCAAAUUUUUGUAAACAUAUACGUAUAAAUUCUGUUAUAUUAUAAUAAUUUAAUUUCAGUUCACAGUGUGAGAGCUGAAGUUGAGGAUAAACUACUUCAAUAAAGCUUAUAUAAACAUAACACUCGUGUAUUAAUGUGGUGCGCUGGUUAUAAGGGAAUACUCGCCCUGGAUAUGAGUGAGCUUUUAUGUUUUUAAAGUCUCAAAAACAACGUUACGAGUACAACGUGAUGUCCCACAAAAAAUUUGGGCCCGAUCGGUUCAGCCGUUUUGACGUUUAUUGGAUACAAACAAACAGA
Long non-coding RNA from Eurytemora carolleeae, 1201 nucleotides. RefSeq lists it as uncharacterized. NCBI's taxonomy places the organism in Eukaryota, Metazoa, Arthropoda, Copepoda, Calanoida, Temoridae. The transcript is spliced from 3 exons. The record is from RefSeq and is a predicted model, not a curated record.